Molecule: long non-coding RNA, 901 nt
Filed under: Scleropages formosus (Asian bonytongue)
Lineage: Eukaryota; Metazoa; Chordata; Actinopteri; Osteoglossiformes; Osteoglossidae
Description: lncRNA (ENSSFOG00015025290.1)
Source: RNAcentral
CUCCCCGGGGGAGCUCUCUACUACUCCGCUCGUCCUGGAAACGGUCAACAAAGCCGCGUCGAGGAGAUGGCGCGGGGAGGGUCGGACCGAGUGACCGACUGAGGCGACUGACUUGCACCGUUUUCCUCACGAAAACUCGAGAAAACAAGUUGUGGAACCGAACUCUCUCUCUCUCUCUCUUUGUGGUAAAUGCAGUCCGGAGUAAAGCGACAUGAUGAUGGAGCGCAAAGAGGAGACGGAGCUGGCGGAGAUUGACCAGCGUCUGCAGGAGGAUGGACUCGGACCUGGGGCCUCGCCAGUGGAGCGCCAGCUCCACCUCUGGCGUCUGUUGCAGAGCAGCGAGAGCAGCCUGCAGUCGACCUCUCAGGACCUGCAGGCUCUGCGGAUGCAGCAGGCGGCUGAGAUGAAAGAGGUGGAGAACUACAUGGAACAUAUUCGUGGCUUGCUGGAGGAGCGGGAGUUGCUGAUGGCAGAGUACGAGCACGAGAAUGAACAGCUGCACUCCGAACUGCAGCAGAUGAAGCUCCAGCACGAUGCCCAGUUGAAGGAGGUAGUGGAGAUGCUGGACCAGGAGGGCUUGGCUGAGAUCAGCUACAGCAGCCCCAGUGAGCAGGUGGCAUACCUGCUGGUGGAAAGAUCCACACUCCUGGAGAGGUUGGAGGCCACUGAUCGGAAGCUUGACACCCAGAGCUUGACAGGUCACCCGAGGGAGAUACCACAAGAGGUACCGGAUCCUUGUGACCUCUGUGUGAAUUGCUGGGCCGCACAUGUGUAUUCAGCGCCUAUUCUGCCUCUUUCUCGACUCAGGAGGGUCUGGACCCCAUCGGAAACACCGUGCAGGGGGACGUGCAGCAACAGAAGGAGAGCGAACAGCCUGCCAAGAGUAGUGCAACCAAGGUGA